RNAcentral lists this ribosomal RNA (253 nucleotides) under uncultured bacterium. Its description in RNAcentral is "partial 16S ribosomal RNA". It matches the Rfam family "Bacterial small subunit ribosomal RNA", at positions 524 to 776 of the family's 1533-position model. The record is from RNAcentral.
GACAGAGGGGGCAAGCGUUGCUCGGAAUUACUGGGCGUAAAGGGCGCGUAGGCGGCCUGUUAAGUCGAACGUGAAAUCCCCGGGCUCAACCCGGGAACUGCGUCCGAUACUGGCAGGCUUGAAUCCGGGAGAGGGAUGUGGAAUUCCAGGUGUAGCGGUGAAAUGCGUAGAUAUCUGGAGGAACACCGGUGGCGAAGGCGGCAUCCUGGACCGGUAUUGACGCUGAGGCGCGAAAGCCAGGGGAGCAAACGGG